UACAGAGACUGCAAGCGUUAUUCGGAUUCAUUGGGCGUAAAGGGUGCGUAGGCGGCGCGGUAAGUCGGGGUGUGAAAUCUCGGAGCUUAACUCCGAAACUGCAUUCGAUACUGCCGUGCUUGAGGACUGGAGAGGAGACUGGAAUUUACGGUGUAGCGGUGAAAUGCGUAGAUAUCGUAAGGAAGACCAGUGGCGAAGGCGGGUCUCUGGACAGUUCCUGACGCUGAGGCACGAAGGCCAGGGGAGCAAACGGG
RNAcentral lists this ribosomal RNA (254 nucleotides) under uncultured bacterium. RNAcentral describes it as "partial 16S ribosomal RNA". It matches the Rfam family "Bacterial small subunit ribosomal RNA", at positions 524 to 776 of the family's 1533-position model. The record is from RNAcentral.